RNAcentral lists this ribosomal RNA (404 nucleotides) under Brucella melitensis. RNAcentral's name for it is "partial 16S ribosomal RNA". It matches the Rfam family "Bacterial small subunit ribosomal RNA", at positions 355 to 776 of the family's 1533-position model. Lineage: Bacteria; Pseudomonadati; Pseudomonadota; Alphaproteobacteria; Hyphomicrobiales; Brucellaceae. The record is from RNAcentral. RNAcentral also lists the same sequence under 2 other names.
UGGGGGAUAUUGGACAAUGGGCGCAAGCCUGAUCCAGCCAUGCCGCGUGAGUGAUGAAGGCCCUAGGGUUGUAAAGCUCUUUCACCGGUGAAGAUAAUGACGGUAACCGGAGAAGAAGCCCCGGCUAACUUCGUGCCAGCAGCCGCGGUAAUACGAAGGGGGCUAGCGUUGUUCGGAUUUACUGGGCGUAAAGCGCACGUAGGCGGACUUUUAAGUCAGGGGUGAAAUCCCGGGGCUCAACCCCGGAACUGCCUUUGAUACUGGAAGUCUUGAGUAUGGUAGAGGUGAGUGGAAUUCCGAGUGUAGAGGUGAAAUUCGUAGAUAUUCGGAGGAACACCAGUGGCGAAGGCGGCUCACUGGACCAUUACUGACGCUGAGGUGCGAAAGCGUGGGGAGCAAACAGG